Molecule: non-coding RNA, 1264 nt
Organism: Sturnus vulgaris (Common starling)
Lineage: Eukaryota; Metazoa; Chordata; Aves; Passeriformes; Sturnidae
Source: RefSeq, a predicted model, not a curated record
UGCCAACAUUUAGAAAGUCACUGAGCUGCUGAUCCAAGAGCAAGCCUGAGGGAAAGGACCCACUUUGUUAGGACAUAAGAGAAUUCUGCCCAGUUUUUCACUCCGUUUUCUGUGUUCUUUAAUUUUUCUGAGUUUGUUUUCUUUUGAAAGAGUUCGUUGGUCUCGUGCCUUGCUUGUGCAAAUCUCUCCCUGGCAUUUAAAAAGAUAAUACUGGGUUCUUGGGGUUUUUUUAAAGAAAAAGAUGCAACAGAGCAAUCUCAAAGCCCUGCUGACUCAGCAUCACAAGUACUAAGACUGAUUAAAAACUGGUGCUUUAUUUUCCAGGUAUCCCAAUUAUUUGAGUGAGUUAAAAUAGCUGAAUGAAGCUGAACAAGGGCAGCGGGAAAAUAGGAAAGAAGUGGCAAGACAGAAAAUAUGUCCCUGAAAAUCCAGACUAAAUAAAAUUAAAGAAAGAGCCACACAAGAUAAAAAGGAGGAGCAUAACUUCUGAAGAAACUGUUCUGCUCUGCCUCAGAUUUUUCCAAUAUUGCCAAUUCUUUGUUUUGAAUCCAUUUUUUUCACUGUUAAGGGAAGAAGAAAUAUACCCCAGCCAGUCUUGUGUUCCAACUUCUUUACCUUUGUCUGCCUAACUCAGCUGGUAUUUAAUUGGUCAGCAAUAGGAGGGAAGUCUCCUUUGAGGUAAUGAAUAUUGACUGUUUAUGUUGAAAUGUCACUGUGAAAAGAAAGCCCAGCACCAAAGAGGCGGAACUCAGUGUGAGAGUUUCAGACACAAAGGAGACACCAGCAAAGCACAGGCAUUGAAAAGCAAAGCAGCUGAAAUUCAAAGAAAAGAUGAAACAGAAAUGGGCUACAUGUGUGGGAAUUUUAAGCUGUCAGUUGACAGGUGAAAAAGUCAUUAUUCCACCUGUUAGAACUAAGUGUAAUUGCUUGUUUUUCCUAAAAUAACACAGAGGCCAUGACUCAUAAUUUUUUUUAAUUGAAAAUUUGUUUAAACUUAUUUGCAAAUACUUCACUUUUUCUUUUGAGGUAAGUGGAUUAAAUUCAUUAGCCAAUUUUUCUACCUCGGACACAUGAGAAGGAAAGAACCACAUUUUCUGUGUUGUAUCAGGAAUUAGAUAAUCAAAUCUUGCAUUCAGCCACUUGCUUUUUAUCGUGAAGCAACUUGAAUAGCAACUUUGGGGUUCGACAUGCAAGUUUAUCAUCCAUUCUAUAGCACUCAUUGAUCUGGAAUGAAUAAAGGCUGUUCUCCAGCAUCAACCCACUG